This 660-nucleotide ribosomal RNA is filed under the name uncultured Atheliaceae. Its description in RNAcentral is "eukaryotic LSU rRNA". It matches the Rfam family "Eukaryotic large subunit ribosomal RNA", at positions 1 to 632 of the family's 3401-position model. Lineage: Eukaryota; Fungi; Basidiomycota; Agaricomycetes; Atheliales; Atheliaceae. The record is from RNAcentral.
UUGACCUCAAAUCAGGUAGGACUACCCGCUGAACUUAAGCAUAUCAAUAAGCGGAGGAAAAGAAACUAACAAGGAUUCCCCUAGUAACUGCGAGUGAAGCGGGAAAGCUCAAAUUUAAAAUCUGGCGGUCCUCCCGGCCGUCCGAGUUGUAAUCUGGAGAAGCGUUUUCCGCGUCGGACCGUGUACAAGUCUUCUGGAAUGGAGCGUCGUAGAGGGUGAGAAUCCCGUCUCUGACACGGACCGCCGAUGCUUUUGUGAUACGCUCUCGAAGAGUCGAGUUGUUUGGGAAUGCAGCUCAAAAUGGGUGGUAAAUUCCAUCUAAAGCUAAAUAUUGGCGAGAGACCGAUAGCGAACAAGUACCGUGAGGGAAAGAUGAAAAGCACUUUGGAAAGAGAGUUAAACAGUACGUGAAAUUGUUGAAAGGGAAACGUUUGAAGUCAGUCGCGUCGGUCGAGACUCAACCUGGCUCUUUCGCUGGGGGCACUUCUCGGCCGACGGGUCAGCAUCAGUUUUGACCGUCGGAUAAAGGCCUAGGGAAUGUGGCAUCUUUCGGGAUGUGUUAUAGCCUUGGGUUCGGAUACGGCGAUCGGGAUUGAGGAACUCAGCGCGCCUUCAUUGGUCGGGGCUUCGGCUCACGUUAACGCGUUAGGAUGCUGCAUA